This 490-nucleotide ribosomal RNA is filed under the name uncultured bacterium. RNAcentral describes it as "partial 16S ribosomal RNA". It matches the Rfam family "Bacterial small subunit ribosomal RNA", at positions 30 to 523 of the family's 1533-position model. The record is from RNAcentral.
AUUGAACGCUGGCGGCAUGCCUUACACAUGCAAGUCGAACGAGUGUAGCAAUACACAAGUGGCGAGCGGGUGAGUAAUGCAUCGGAACGUAUCCUAUUGUGGGGGAUAACGUAGCGAAAGUUACGCUAAUACCGCAUAAGACCUGAGGGUGAAAGCGGGGGAUCUUCGGACCUCGCGCGAUAGGAGCGGCCGAUGUCGGAUUAGCUAGUAGGUGGGGGAAAGGCUUACCUAGGCGACGAUCCGUAGCGGGUCUGAGAGGAUGAUCCGCCACACGGGGACUGAGACACGGCCCAGACUCCUACGGGAGGCAGCAGUGGGGAAUUUUGGACAAUGGGCGCAAGCCUGAUCCAGCCAUGCCGCGUGAGUGAAGAAGGCCUUCGGGUUGUAAAGCUCUUUCGGACGGAAAGAAAUUGCUUCGGAUAAUACCUGGAGUAGAUGUCGGUACCGUAAGAAGAAGCACCGGCUAACUACGUGCCAGCCGCCGCGGUAA